AAUGGGCGCAAGCCUGAUGCAGCGACGCCGCGUGAGGGAUGACGGCCUUCGGGUUGUAAACCUCUUUCAGUAGGGACGAAGCGAAAGUGACGGUACCUACAGAAGAAGGACCGGCCAACUACGUGCCAGCAGCCGCGGUAAUACGUAGGGUCCGAGCGUUGUCCGGAAUUACUGGGCGUAAAGAGCUCGUAGGUGGUUUAUCGCGUUGUUCGUGAAAACUCACAGCUUAACUGUGGGCGUGCGGGCGAUACGGGCAGACUAGAGUACUGCAGGGGAGACUGGAAUUCCUGGUGUAGCGGUGGAAUGCGCAGAUAUCAGGAGGAACACCGGUGGCGAAGGCGGGUCUCUGGGCAGUAACUGACGCUGAGGAGCGAAAGCGUGGGUAGCGAA
RNAcentral lists this ribosomal RNA (390 nucleotides) under uncultured bacterium. RNAcentral describes it as "bacterial SSU rRNA". It matches the Rfam family "Bacterial small subunit ribosomal RNA", at positions 370 to 772 of the family's 1533-position model. The record is from RNAcentral.